Molecule: ribosomal RNA, 303 nt
Filed under: uncultured bacterium
Lineage: Bacteria
Description: partial 16S ribosomal RNA
Rfam family: Bacterial small subunit ribosomal RNA
Source: RNAcentral
AGCAGUCGCCACGGGAAUACGUAGGGUGCAAGCGUUGUUCGGAAUUACUGGGCGUAAAGCGCACGUAGGCGGCUUGGUAAGUUAGAGGUGAAAGCCUGGAGCUCAACUCCAGAAUUGCCUUUAAGACUGCCGAGCUAGCAGGUGAGAGAGGUAAGUGGAAUUCCGAGUGUAGAGGUGAAAUUCGUAGAUAUUCGGAAGAACACCAGUGGCGAAGGCGGCUUACUGGCUCAUACUGGACGCUGAGGUGCGAAAGCGUGGGGAGCAAACAGGAUUAGAUACCCCUGUAGUCCCUGUCUCUUAUAC